Molecule: ribosomal RNA, 384 nt
Filed under: Bryodrilus ehlersi
Lineage: Eukaryota; Metazoa; Annelida; Clitellata; Enchytraeida; Enchytraeidae
Description: partial 12S ribosomal RNA
Rfam family: Bacterial small subunit ribosomal RNA
Source: RNAcentral
UUGAGACUUAAAUUUAUGCCGGAUAAUACGAUCAACAGUUUAAAAUCCAAAGAAUUUGGCGGUGUCUUAUAUAAUCAGGGGAACCUGUCUCUUAAUUCGAUAGCCCACGUAAAAUCUACCCUUAUCUAGAAUAUCAGCUUGUGUACUGCUGUCGUCAGUAAACCUCUAAAAGAUAGUUUACAAUAAUAACUAACGAACUUAUUUACGUCAAGUCAAAGUGCAGCCAAUGAUAAGGAGUUUGAUGGGUUACAAUCUUCACUAAAGAUACAGAUAAAUUUAACAAAAAAAUUUUAAAGGUGGACUUGAUAGUAAUGAUUAUACGAUAUUAUCAUUAAUAAAUAUCUAAGACAUGCACACAUCGCCCGUCACUCUCGUCGUAAAAUG